CAAAGGCUUGGUCCUGACUUUACUAUCAACUUUAACCUAAUUUAUACAUGCAAGUAUCCGCAUCCCGGUGAGAAUGCCCUCAAUCCCCCGUCCGGGGACGAGGAGCAGGCAUCAGGCACAACCACCCCCGCCCAAGACGCCUUGCUACGCCACACCCCCAAGGGAAUCCAGCAGUAAUAAACAUUAAGCUAUGAGCGAAAGCUCGACUUAGUUAAGGUUAACCAGGGCCGGUAAAACUCGUGCCAGCCACCGCGGUUAUACGAGAGGCCCAAGUAGAUAGCCACGGCGUAAAGAGUGGUUAGGGAAAUUAAAAACAUAUAGAGCCGAACAUCUCCUAGGUCGUUAUACGCUUUCUGAAGACAUGAAGCCCAUCAGCGAAAGUAACUCUAACUAAACCCACCCGACCCCACGAAAACUAAGAAACAAACUGGGAUUAGAUACCCCACUAUGCUUAGCCGUAAACUCAGAUGGCCCACCUACAGCAGCCAUCCGCCCGGGUACUACAAGCGUCAGCUUAAAACCCAAAGGACUUGGCGGUGCUUCAGACCCACCUAGAGGAGCCUGUUCUAGAACCGAUAAUCCCCGUUAAACCUCACCACCCCUAGCUUUCUCCGCCUAUAUACCGCCGUCGUCAGCUUACCCCGUGAGGGCCCAACAGUGAGCACAAUGGAUAAACCCCAAAACGUCAGGUCGAGGUGUAGCGAAUGAGGUGGAAAGAAAUGGGCUACAUUUUCUAUCACAGAAUAAUAACGGACAGCAAACUGAAAUAAACGCUCGAAGGUGGAUUUAGUAGUAAAAAGAAAACAGAGUGUCCUUUUGAACCAGGCUCUGAAGCGCGCACACACCGCCCGUCACCCUCCCCAUCAACCCUAAAAAAUAGUAAUUAACCAACUUCAACUUUGAUACGGGGAGGCAAGUCGUAACAUGGUAAGUGUACCGGAAGGUGCACUUGGAAGAAU
This 959-nucleotide non-coding RNA is filed under the name Xenocharax spilurus. RNAcentral's name for it is "12S ribosomal RNA". It matches the Rfam family "Bacterial small subunit ribosomal RNA". Lineage: Eukaryota; Metazoa; Chordata; Actinopteri; Characiformes; Distichodontidae. The record is from RNAcentral.